This 694-nucleotide ribosomal RNA is filed under the name uncultured bacterium. RNAcentral describes it as "bacterial SSU rRNA". It matches the Rfam family "Bacterial small subunit ribosomal RNA", at positions 185 to 881 of the family's 1533-position model. The record is from RNAcentral.
UUCCGCAUGGUUUCAUUAUUAAAGGAUUCCGGUAAAGGAUGGGGAUGCGUUCCAUUAGGUUGUUGGUGAGGUAACGGCUCACCAAGCCUUCGAUGGAUAGGGGUUCUGAGAGGAAGGUCCCCCACAUUGGAACUGAGACACGGUCCAAACUCCUACGGGAGGCAGCAGUGAGGAAUAUUGGUCAAUGGGCGUUAGCCUGAACCAGCCAAGUAGCGUGAAGGAUGAAGGCUCUAUGGGUCGUAAACUUCUUUUAUAUAAGAAUAAAGUGCAGUAUGUAUACUGUUUUGUAUGUAUUAUAUGAAUAAGGAUCGGCUAACUCCGUGCCAGCAGCCGCGGUAAUACGGAGGAUCCGAGCGUUAUCCGGAUUUAUUGGGUUUAAAGGGAGCGUAGGUGGACUGGUAAGUCAGUUGUGAAAGUUUGCGGCUCAACCGUAAAAUUGCAGUUGAUACUGUCAGUCUUGAGUACAGUAGAGGUGGGCGGAAUUCGUGGUGUAGCGGUGAAAUGCUUAGAUAUCACGAAGAACUCCGAUUGCGAAGGCAGCUCACUGGACUGCAACUGACACUGAUGCUCGAAAGUGUGGGUAUCAAACAGGAUUAGAUACCCUGGUAGUCCACACAGUAAACGAUGAAUACUCGCUGUUUGCGAUAUACAGUAAGCGGCCAAGCGAAAGCAUUAAGUAUUCCACCUGGGGAGU